AACGCUAGCUACAGGCUUAACACAUGCAAGUCGAGGGGCAGCAUGAACUUAGCUUGCUAAGUUUGAUGGCGACCGGCGCACGGGUGAGUAACGCGUAUCCAACCCUCCGUACACUCAGGAAUAGCCUUUCGAAAGAAAGAUUAAUACCUGAUGGUAUGAUGAGAUUGCAUGAAAUCAUCAUUAAAGAUUCAUCGGUGUACGAUGGGGAUGCGUUCCAUUAGAUAGUAGGCGGGGUAACGGCCCACCUAGUCGACGAUGGAUAGGGGUUCUGAGAGGAAGGUCCCCCACAUUGGAACUGAGACACGGUCCAAACUCCUACGGGAGGCAGCAGUGAGGAAUAUUGGUCAAUGGGCGCGAGCCUGAACCAGCCAAGUAGCGUGAAGGAUGAAGGUCCUACGGAUUGUAAACUUCUUUUAUAAGGGAAUAAAGUCACCUACGUGUAGGUGUUUGUAUGUACCUUAUGAAUAAGCAUCGGCUAACUCCGUGCCAGCAGCCGCGGUAAUACGGAGGAUGCGAGCGUUAUCCGGAUUUAUUGGGUUUAAAGGGAGCGUAGACGGGUCGUUAAGUCAGCUGUGAAAGUUUGAGGCUCAACCUUAAAAUUGCAGUUGAUACUGGCGUCCUUGAGUACGGUUGAGGCAGGCGGAAUUCGUGGUGUAGCGGUGAAAUGCAUAGAUAUCACGAAGAACUCCGAUUG
RNAcentral lists this ribosomal RNA (694 nucleotides) under uncultured bacterium. RNAcentral describes it as "bacterial SSU rRNA". It matches the Rfam family "Bacterial small subunit ribosomal RNA", at positions 32 to 715 of the family's 1533-position model. The record is from RNAcentral.